Long non-coding RNA from Pezoporus occidentalis (night parrot), 4427 nucleotides. RefSeq lists it as uncharacterized. The transcript is spliced from 3 exons. Lineage: Eukaryota; Metazoa; Chordata; Aves; Psittaciformes; Psittacidae. The record is from RefSeq and is a predicted model, not a curated record.
AGUGGUGAUCUCCCUAGGGAAGAGCUUGGGCUGUGGGAAUGGCCUGUGAGCAUUUCUCUGUACAUUGAUCUUUCUCCUUUUCUAGAGCCUCUAGGAGCACAUACUGAAAUGCACAGUGCUACAGAUGUACGUAUAUAGUUUUUUAAGGAAACCUUAAAGAAUACCUGUACUGAGGGGAAUAAAAUUCUACCAUUUUUUGGAGUGUCUGUGCUGGGUGACUUCAUUUUUACCAUGGCAAUAGAGAAGCCUCUCUAUUUCCAACUGGUUGAAUCCUCCAUCUUCCUUGAUGCAUACCAGUAAGCAAUGGGAACAUCCACGGGAGGUUUCUGGCUGUGGGAAAGCUGUGCCAGGGCCAUCCUGGUGGGAAGAUGACUGCAGCUGGACACUAGGCCACAGUGCUGCCUCCAGGAAAUGCUUGUGGAUCUGGAUGUGGCCACGCUGGAUGCACAGAGGGAUGCACAGCAGCCGCCUGCCUGCAUCACUGGGUUGGCCUCCAGGUAAGGGUGUGACUGGAUGAGAAAAGGGAGGUUGGUGCUUCAGGCUUGUCUGCAGAUUAACACAAUGCUGGUAACAUCAAAACCCCAAAUCUCAUAAUUGAUAGAGGUUCUGAGUUGCUCAUUUAAUGCAUCCCCAAAACUGCAACAACCAACCCUCAGCGGCUUCUUGCUGCCAAACCCAGGCUGGGUUUACAUGUGAAGUGCAUCAAGUGUUGCUCUUUCCUCUCUGUUCAAGGCUUGCUCUUCAGUGAUGCUCAGGUCAAAUCCAGCUCUGAGCUCACGCACCGGCUGUCGGGGACGGUGCUGUGCGCCGCAGCAGGUACCAGCCUCUCAGCUUCUCUCUCCUUGGGGCACCAAGAGCCUUUGCAAAUGUGUGCCAAGCUUGAGCAAGAGCUGUUGUUACCCAGAUUGCUCUUGUUUAAAGCACAAGUAGAGCAACAUUUCAUCUGAACACCUGAAUGCUGUUGUUUUUCAUAGCCAGCCCCAGGGUGCUGGGGGCUGUGAGCAGCUCUGCGAGGCUUCCUUGUGCUCUGAAGCAAGAAGCAAUAACUGUCCUUGUGGACAAGCACAAAUGCAUUUUGGCCGGGGAUGGAGCGGGGACCGGGUGGGGAUGGAGGCUGAACGUGUCAGCGCUGCGUGACGCCAACAGCCAGCUGCCAGAGCCCAGUGAGACUCAUCCCUGUGGAAGCCAAGGGGUUGAACCAGAACAAACGCCAGGCAAAGACUGAAAAGCCUUGUGCUGGCCUUGCUGGCACCCAGGGCAGGGGCUUGCUCUGGAUCAGCAGCCAGUGCCAAUGGGGUGUUUUGCAAGUGUGUCACUGCCUUUGCUGUCCAUCUUCUUCCAGGGUUUACAGCACUUAAUAGCAGGAGAUGAUGGUGCAGCAGGAGAGCAGAGCAGGGAUGGAUGCAGCAUUAGCAAAUGGCUUUUGUCACAGCUUCCGUUGCAGGGAGCAGCGGAGCCACGUGCCAUCGUGGUUGCCCUCAGUCCACACAGACAACGAGGGGUGCAGGGUUGUUCUGCCAAAGCCCUUCUGUGCAUGGAAGUAUAUUGAGAAAAUGCUGUCAUUUCAGUGCCAGAAAUUCCACGCACUUGUCGCAGGUAACUUCUUUAUGCCUGUCCCUUCAGAGGAAAUCCUGCUGAUGCUCUGGUCCCCUUAACUGAGACCUCUAGAGCCUCAGUUCAUCAGGUCGGUAACUUGGGAUUGACAGUGCCCAGGUUGUGCCCCUGCAGCACAAGCCCCGUUGGUCACCUGGAGCCAAGUGAGAUGCAACGAGGGCUGGGGAGAACCCAGGAGCUUUCUCCAUCCGCAGCACGGGAGGACCCGGGAGCCCACAGCAGCAGCCAUGGGGCCAGAAGCUGAAGUGUCCCAGCACAAAGCGAGCGAGCGGGGCCCUGCUGCAGCCUGUGGCUCAGAGGUUCUUCAUGCAGCAAAGCAGCAGCUGACUGCAAGCAAUCUAUCAGGAGUGAGCAGACACUGCUUAUGACAGAGGGAGUCUUAAUAUUGCAUUACUUCAUUUAUUUAGCACCUCUCCUCUAAUGCCCAGGGGAAGGACAAUGGGAAAGUGUUGUGGGUUGCUGGGGGCUGGUUGUUUCUUCUCUUCCCUGCACAGAACAAACAGCCUCCAGAUGGUUCUCGGCUGAGCGAAGAAAUACUGGCUUUACAAAAAGAAGGGAUGUCAAGUCAUUAAAAGCUGCAGGAAGAGAAGUCUUCUGAGAUGGGAGUGGAAAUGGGGCCAAGAGAGCUGGAGCCAGAAAGCAGAUGUAGGAAGCACAGGGAGACGGGAGGCAGUUGCACAGUGAAUGCACAGUUAGAAGGUGAUUCCUGACCAAGUGCUGGUUCAGCUCCUGCCACCAGCCUCUCUCACUGGACACACGCUCGGUCCCUUCUCCUCUGGGCUCUGAUCCCUGUCAGCAGCAAUUGCUUCCCACUCCAAGCUCUGGAGAUGCUCCUGGCGUGGUGGCUCUGAGCCAGCAGAGCCAAAGGGACCCUCUGCUCUGCCCGGGGAGCGGAUGAGGCCUCUGCCAUGGGGCCACACGCCGCCGGCCCGCAGCCGGGGCUCUCCAUCGCGCCCAGCGCCCGCCUGGCACCGCUCGGCUUUGGCAGCACCGAGCAUCUCCUGGGGCAUUGACCUGCUGGAAGGCUGCUGGGCUCGGCUGCCAGCAGGGAUGUGUGUUUGCAACGGAGAGCUCAUCGCCUGUUCCCCGCCGUGCGCCUGGGGGGGCUCCCUGGAAGCUGUUGCAGGAGCAGGGUUGUGCCAGCAAACCCAGCGUGGGAGCGCCAGGGAAAGCGGUGCCGGCUGCGCUCGCAGGCAGGGGCUGUGCCACCUCUCAGCUCUCCUCGUCGCUUUUCCUUCCAGGAGUGAGGUAUGGUUGUCACCAGCGUCACUGCUCCCACGUCAGGGCUGUGGGGUCGCUCCUUUCCCUGCAGAGAAAAUAUAAGGAGAGGCAGGUUGUGAAACGUCAACCCCAUCAGGUCUUGGCUCUAAAAUCCCCGCUGACUCCUGUGAUUUAUCACUCACCCAGCUGCUACUUGCAGCUUGGAUAAGAUAAGCGGGGGGGGGGGAAUAUGAAUUUUAAAAGCUUGGCUUUAAAGCCCACAGAGUAAGGCCAGGAAUCCUCUCCUGGCCGAGGUAACAGGGCAAGAACAUCACUGGUCACAGCUGAAAUAAAACAGCCAUCCGCUCCAGGCGGCCCUAGGAGAGGAUAAUUCUGCUGCCUUCUCUUCCCUGAUGUGGUUUUUGACCCAUGAUGUGAGAAAACCAGUAUUUAGGCAGCAGAAGCAAACCCGCGCCUGGGACAGCCCUGAGCCAUCAUCUCUCUGGGCACAUGGGGUGAUGCCCAGCGGGUUCUCCUUCCCCUCCUUUCCAACCAGCCACUCUGCGAGCUCUGCUCCAGCUCACUCACUUUCUGCCUCCAUUGGGGUUUGCUUUGCACCUCUUCAGCCUCAACCAUCAGCAGUUUCUCACCCAGCAAAGCCUCCGUCCUCCACGCGCGUUUCCUCCCGCUCUGACAGCAACCUCAGCAGCAGGUUCUGUCCCGGCUGCUGAGAGUCCCACAGAUGGUAACACCACUGCAGGCACAGGUAUUGCUUAAAAGCCUUGAUGAUGAUCCUUUGCAGGGAGCUAUUUGGCUUGUGCCUUUGUGCUUCCAUCACCCUACCUGAAUCCUGCCACAACAGCCCCCAGACUUGCUGCUUCUUGGGUCUUGUUUUAGCUACAACCCUCCUCCCUUUCCCUGCUUGGCAGCAUGGAUUUUCAUGCGACGUCCCAGCACAAGGCCUGUCACUCGGCUAUUGCCUGGAUCACAAGCUCGUGGGUGCUUUGGUCGUCCUGGGUGAAGGUGGAGCAUUCAGCUGAUGGGAAUUCUUGCACUGGGGCAGGUAGGAGACAAGGUGCUGAGCCUGCAGCACCAGGAACGUGCUUGUUGCAUUUACAAGCUGGAGUCACUUCUAGUUGUGUUUUCUUUCCAAGUUCCCAUUUGUCAUCCCAGAAACCUUCCGUGGCUGCUCGACAUUCCAGUGGGAAGGUGCCGCCUGUUUUCCAGCCACCACCCCUACAUCUGAGCCUCCUCAGUGACUUUGGGCUCCGAAGCAGUUGGAGCUUUCCACUCUGGAGGAAUUCCUUCACAUUAACUAUGAGGAAAGCCUGACCGAUUCAGAGCUGUCCAAUGGAAGAGACAAAUAUGCUGGAAGAAAUAAAGACUAUUUAUUUCCCCUCCGAGUUAUAGGAAUCAUAUGCAUCAGCUGGAUCAAUAGGUUGAAAGUGCCCAGCCAGAAAGAUGUUCUACAUAAAAAAGCAGAAGCCCUCCUUUAAGCUCAGGUAUUAUCAUGUUGUAAGUGAAAUUAUGAUAGUAAACCGUGUUUAGAGGCUCUCUUGGAAAGCUCAGGUUAAGAACAAAAGCUUAAUAAAUGUACUUGUACGUAGUAACAA